AAUGAACGCUGGCGGCGUGCCUAACACAUGCAAGUCGAGCGAGAAAGUGGGCUUCGGCCCGCGAGUACAGCGGCGAACGGGUGAGUAACACGUGGGUAACCUGCCUAGGAGUGGGGGAUAACCUGGGGAAACUCGGGCUAAUACCGCAUACGUCCUCGGGACUUCGGUUCUGAGGGGAAAGCUUGCCUCUGCGUGCAAGCUGGCGCUCCUAGAGGGGCCCGCGUCCGAUUAGCUUGUUGGUGAGGUAACGGCUCACAAAGGCGACGAUCGGUAGCCGGCCUGAGAGGGCGAUCGGCCACACUGGGACUGAGACACGGCCCAGACUCCUACGGGAGGCAGCAGUGGGGAAUAUUGGACAAUGGGCGCAAGCCUGAUCCAGCAACGCCGCGUGGAGGAAGAAGGCCUUCGGGUCGUAAACUCCUGUCAGUUGGGACGAAAAGCCGUCGGUAAAUACCCGGCGGUUAUGACGGUACCAGCAGAGGAAGCCCCGGCUAACUCCGUG
RNAcentral lists this ribosomal RNA (502 nucleotides) under uncultured bacterium. RNAcentral describes it as "bacterial SSU rRNA". It matches the Rfam family "Bacterial small subunit ribosomal RNA", at positions 28 to 507 of the family's 1533-position model. The record is from RNAcentral.